AGUGAACGCUGGCGGUAGGCCUAACACAUGCAAAUCGAACGGCAGCACAGUAAGAGCUUGCUCUUACGGGUGGCGAGUGGCGGACGGGUGAGGAAUACAUCGGAAUCUACUUUUUCGUGGGGGAUAACGUAGGGAAACUUACGCUAAUACCGCAUACGACCUACGGGUGAAAGCAGGGGAUCUUCGGACCUUGCGCGAUUGAAUGAGCCGAUGUCGGAUUAGCUAGUUGGCGGGGUAAAGGCCCACCAAGGCGACGAUCCGUAGCUGGUCUGAGAGGAUGAUCAGCCACACUGGAACUGAGACACGGUCCAGACUCCUACGGGAGGCAGCAGUGGGGAAUAUUGGACAAUGGGCGCAAGCCUGAUCCAGCCAUACCGCGUGGGUGAAGAAGGCCUUCGGGUUGUAAAGCCCUUUUGUUGGGAAAGAAAAGCAGCAGGUUAAUACCCCGCUGUUCUGACGGUACCCAAAGAAUACGCACCGGCUAACUUCGUG
RNAcentral lists this ribosomal RNA (492 nucleotides) under uncultured bacterium. Its description in RNAcentral is "partial 16S ribosomal RNA". It matches the Rfam family "Bacterial small subunit ribosomal RNA", at positions 29 to 507 of the family's 1533-position model. The record is from RNAcentral.